This 1300-nucleotide ribosomal RNA is filed under the name Mammaliicoccus fleurettii. RNAcentral describes it as "partial 23S ribosomal RNA". It matches the Rfam family "Bacterial large subunit ribosomal RNA", at positions 1616 to 2925 of the family's 2925-position model. The record is from RNAcentral. Lineage: Bacteria; Bacillati; Bacillota; Bacilli; Caryophanales; Staphylococcaceae.
AGCCUCUAGUUAGAAAAUAGGUGCCCGUACCGCAAACCGACACAGGUAGUCAAGAUGAGAAUUCUAAGGUGAGCGAGCGAACUCUCGUUAAGGAACUCGGCAAAAUGACCCCGUAACUUCGGGAGAAGGGGUGCUUUUUAGGGUGCAAGCCUUGAAGAGCCGCAGUGAAUAGGCCCAAGCGACUGUUUAUCAAAAACACAGGUCUCUGCUAAACCGUAAGGUGAUGUAUAGGGGCUGACGCCUGCCCGGUGCUGGAAGGUUAAGAGGAGUGGUUAGCUUCUGCGAAGCUACGAAUCGAAGCCCCAGUAAACGGCGGCCGUAACUAUAACGGUCCUAAGGUAGCGAAAUUCCUUGUCGGGUAAGUUCCGACCCGCACGAAAGGCGUAACGAUUUGGGCACUGUCUCAACGAGAGACUCGGUGAAAUCAUAGUACCUGUGAAGAUGCAGGUUACCCGCGACAGGACGGAAAGACCCCGUGGAGCUUUACUGUAGCCUGAUAUUGAAAUUUGGCACAGCUUGUACAGGAUAGGUAGGAGCCUUUGAAGCGUGAGCGCUAGCUUACGUGGAGGCGCUGGUGGGAUACUACCCUGGCUGUGUUGACUUUCUAACCCGCACCAUUUGAUCAUGGUGGGAGACAGUGUCAGGCGGGCAGUUUGACUGGGGCGGUCGCCUCCUAAAGAGUAACGGAGGCGCUCAAAGGUUCCCUCAGAAUGGUUGGAAAUCAUUCGCAGAGUGUAAAGGCACAAGGGAGCUUGACUGCGAGACUUACAAGUCGAGCAGGGUCGAAAGACGGACUUAGUGAUCCGGUGGUUCCGCAUGGAAGGGCCAUCGCUCAACGGAUAAAAGCUACCCCGGGGAUAACAGGCUUAUCUCCCCCAAGAGUUCACAUCGACGGGGAGGUUUGGCACCUCGAUGUCGGCUCAUCGCAUCCUGGGGCUGUAGUCGGUCCCAAGGGUUGGGCUGUUCGCCCAUUAAAGCGGUACGCGAGCUGGGUUCAGAACGUCGUGAGACAGUUCGGUCCCUAUCCGUCGUGGGCGUAGGAAAUUUGAGAGGAGCUGUCCUUAGUACGAGAGGACCGGGAUGGACAUACCUCUGGUGUACCAGUUGUCGCGCCAGCGGCAUAGCUGGGUAGCUAUGUAUGGACGGGAUAAGUGCUGAAAGCAUCUAAGCAUGAAGCCCCCCUCAAGAUGAGAUUUCCCAACUUCGGUUAUAAGAUCCCUCAAAGAUGAUGAGGUUAAUAGGUUCGGGGUGUAAGCGCAGUAAUGUGUGUAGCUGACGAAUACUAAUCGAUCGAAGACUU